UGGCAAUAGAUAGACAUCAGUUAUAUAUAUGUUAGAAUAAAAUUGUGGACUUCUAUCAUUGCACUUCCAUUUUGACAUGAACUGGCCAGGUCCAUGCAUGAUUAAAUGUGAAGGUUUCUCUACCAAAUUGUGCCAAUAUGAUAUCAAUAACUUGUAUUGAUUUAUAUUUUUCUUGUUUUACAGCAAGUAAAUGAAAUACUUAGGUUUGUUUGAAAAAUUGAGCAAAUGUUGAUGUAAUUUUUAAGUGGUUCCAUUGUGUGGUUCAGUAAAGUUUGCAAAAAAUGUGGAAAGUUACCAUAAUAUUUUUUUUAUCAAUUCAGCUGUUUGUGAGGAAAUAGCAUGAGCUUAAUCAAACACGGUCAUGAGGUUCUUGGGUUAAUUUUGCACUGUGUUUUAAUUUAUGAAAACAGUAUUUCCAUAGUGUUACUUAUAACAUUUGAAAAUGACAUCUAAUCCACUGUAAUUUUUUUUUUUAAAUUAGGGAUCAACAUCAAAUAAUUUUUUAAACCACAAACAAUAUUCAGCUUUCAUUUUGCUCUUGACUAUAAUUUCUGGCUUUCUGCAUGAAAAAUUAUUCACCUAUUUAACCCUUUUAUUAGUUGUUUUUUUUUUUUAACUUUAAUUGCUAUAUAUUUAUGCCCCCUGCCUAAAAAGGACUUAAUGCUCCUAUCAGUCAAUACCUCAGUAUCAAUCAUUAGUAUAUCAGUUGGUCAGUAGAAAAAGUGUUGUCUGUUUAUGAGAAUCUUUUUCUUAACAGCCCUAACCUUAGUGCACUGGUAUCCACUGUGUAGUAGAUCUGACUCCUUUUGAUUUGGGUUCCACUGAAGAGUAGAUAAGCAUUUAAAAUAGAUUUUGAAGGCAACAGGUCAGGGGAAAACUGGGAAUUGAAAUGAUACCGACUGCUCAGUAUCUUGAUAGGCAUCAAACUUGGUACUCCUCUGAGGAGUAGAUGACCCUCAUUGAUUUUUCACAUCACAAGAUCAAAGGUCAAGGGCAAACAGGAUGUAGGAAGAUUUUGCCUGCUCAAUAUCUUGAUAACCCUGUCUUUAUAACAGACGUCAAACAUGGUACAUUGGUUACCCUUAGGGAGGAAAUGACCUCUGUUGAUUUUGCAGUCAUUAGGUCAAAGGUCAAAUGACAAAUUUUUGAUGCACUUGUACCCUGUUUGAAGAAUAUAACUUGCCUUAACAUUGACAUGUGAUAGAGAUAGGCUGCCCUUGACAAGUAGAUGAAUAAUACAUUUAUUGUUUCACUAUCAUUACAGACAUUCUAAAUUAAAAUUUGUUUCUUUUUCAUAUUGCCAUAUGGGGUCAUAUAUAUUUAUGUUUAUCAAUCAUUUUUUAUUUUAAUAAUUUUGUGGUGAAAACUGCAGUGAGAUUACAUGUACUGAAUGUAGUUCUGGAUUUGUUAACGUUUCUGUUUAAGGACAUACGCAGUAAUCUGUUUUUGCUUAUUUGAAAAUAUUAAGUUUUUUUUCAUCCCAUCUGUCUAUAAUAAUUCUUAAUUUAAAAUUUUUAAGUAUAAUUUGAAAUGAAGAAAAUCAAAUUUCAGCUGAAUGAAAGCUGUUUAUAGCAAUUUUGUAUACUGUAUCUGCAAGUAAUUCACUUGUAUUACAUGUAGUAGGUGCACACUUUCAAGAUGCUGUGGUGUUUAAUUCAAUGUCUUAAUGCUCAGAAUUUUCCCUUUCCUGUAUUAUAGGUGAUUUUUUAAAUAUUAAUUUUGAUAUGUGAUAUAUUGUCUUUAUAUAUUACAUUAAUUUCUUUGUGGGCGAAGAAAAGAAUACAAAUGAAUGAAUCAAG
Saccostrea cuccullata (small rock oyster) is the source of this 1799-nucleotide long non-coding RNA. RefSeq lists it as uncharacterized. The record is from RefSeq and is a predicted model, not a curated record. NCBI's taxonomy places the organism in Eukaryota, Metazoa, Mollusca, Bivalvia, Ostreida, Ostreidae. The transcript is spliced from 2 exons.